CCUACGGGUGGCAGCAGUGGGGGAUAUUGCACAAUGGGGGAAACCCUGAUGCAGCGACGCCGCGUGGGUGAAGAAGUAUUUCGGUAUGUAAAGCCCUAUCAGCAGGGAAGAAAGAAGACGGUACCUGACUAAGAAGCCCCGGCUAACUACGUGCCAGCAGCCGCGGUAAUACGUAGGGGUCGCGCGUUAUCCGGAUUCACUGGGUGUAAAGGGAGCGUAGACGGCCGUGCAAGCCAGGAGUGAAAGCCCGGGGCCCAACCCCGGGACUGCUCUUGGAACUGUGCGGCUGGAGUGCGGGAGGGGCAGGCGGAAUGCCUGGUGUAGCGGUGAAAUGCGUAGAUAUCAGGAGGAACACCGGCGGCGAAGGCGGCCUGCUGGACCGCGACUGACGUUGAGGCUCGAAAGCGUGGGGAGCGAACAGGAUUAGAUACCCCUGUAGUC
Molecule: ribosomal RNA, 441 nt
Filed under: uncultured bacterium
Lineage: Bacteria
Description: partial 16S ribosomal RNA
Rfam family: Bacterial small subunit ribosomal RNA
Source: RNAcentral